Molecule: ribosomal RNA, 266 nt
Filed under: uncultured bacterium
Lineage: Bacteria
Description: partial 16S ribosomal RNA
Rfam family: Bacterial small subunit ribosomal RNA
Source: RNAcentral
CAUUCGAGUGGCGGACGGGUGAGUAACGCGUGGGUAACCUGCCUUACACAGGGGGAUAACACCUGGAAACAGGUGCUAAUACCGCAUAAGCGCACAGGGCCGCAUGGCCCGGUGUGAAAAACUCCGGUGGUGUAAGAUGGACCCGCGUCUGAUUAGCUGGUUGGCGGGGUAAAGGCCCACCAAGGCGACGAUCAGUAGCCGGCCUGAGAGGGUGGACGGCCACAUUGGGACUGAGACACGGCCCAAACUCCUACGGGAGGCAGCAG